RNAcentral lists this ribosomal RNA (320 nucleotides) under uncultured eukaryote. RNAcentral describes it as "partial 18S ribosomal RNA". It matches the Rfam family "Eukaryotic small subunit ribosomal RNA", at positions 1470 to 1796 of the family's 1831-position model. The record is from RNAcentral.
CCCCUAGAUGUUCUGGGCCGCACGCGCGCUACACUGAACAGUUCAACAAGUCUUAACCUUGGCCGAUAGGUCUGGGUAAUCUUUGAACGCUGUUCGUGAUUGGGAUAGACCUUUGCAAUUAUGGGUCUUCAACGAGGAAUUCCUAGUAAACGCAAGUCAUCAGCAUGCAUUGAUUACGUCCCUGCCCUUUGUACACACCGCCCGUCGCACCUACCGAUUGAAUGGUCCGGUGAAAUCUCGGGACGGCGGCUUGGUCGCUUGCGUCCGACUGCUGAAACUUGAUUAAACCAUAUCAUUUAGAGGAAGGUGAAGUCGUAACA